Molecule: ribosomal RNA, 520 nt
Filed under: uncultured Sulfurovum sp.
Lineage: Bacteria; Pseudomonadati; Campylobacterota; Epsilonproteobacteria; Campylobacterales; Sulfurovaceae
Description: bacterial SSU rRNA
Rfam family: Bacterial small subunit ribosomal RNA
Source: RNAcentral
GGAGUGCAGUCGCAAGAUUAAAACUCAAAGGAAUAGACGGGGACCCGCACAAGUGGUGGAGCAUGUGGUUUAAUUCGAAGAUACGCGAAGAACCUUACCUAGCCUUGACAUAUUUUAGAACACUUUAGAGAUAGAGUGGUGCCUUCGGGAGCUAAUAUACAGGUGCUGCACGGCUGUCGUCAGCUCGUGUCGUGAGAUGUUGGGUUAAGUCCCGCAACGAGCGCAACCCUCGUCACUAGUUACUAACGGUUCGGCCGAGGACUCUAGUGAGACUGCCUUCGUAAGGAGGAGGAAGGUGAGGACGACGUCAAGUCAUCAUGGCCCUUACGGCUAGGGCAACACACGUGCUACAAUGGCCAGGACAAUGAGACGCGAUACCGCGAGGUGGAGCAAAUCUAUAAACCUGGUCUCAGUUCGGAUUGUAGUCUGCAACUCGACUACAUGAAGCUGGAAUCACUAGUAAUCGUAGAUCAGCUAUGCUACGGUGAAUACGUUCCCGGGUCUUGCACACACCGCCCGU